GGAGUUAGCCGGUGCUUCUUCUGUGAGUGAUGUCCUUCCUGCCGGUUAUUGACCCGCAGGCCUUCUUCCUCACUGAAAGUGCUUUACAACCCGAAGGCCUUCUUCACACACGCGGCAUGGCUGGAUCAGGGUUGCCCCCAUUGUCCAAUAUUCCCCACUGCUGCCUCCCGUAGGAGUCUGGGCCGUGUCUCAGUCCCAGUGUGGCUGAUCAUCCUCUCAGACCAGCUACGGAUCGUCGCCUUGGUGAGCCGUUACCUCACCAACCAGCUAAUCCGACAUAGGCUCAUCCGAUAGCGCGAGGCCCGAAGGUCCCCCGCUUUCCCCCGUAGGGCGUAUGCGGUAUUAGCCUGGGUUUUCCCCCAGGUUAUCCCCCGACUACCGGGGCAGAUUCCUAUGCAUUACUCACCCGUCCGCCGCUCGCCACCAGGGAGCAAGCUCCCCGUGCUGCCGCUCGACUUGCAUGUGUUAGGCCUGCCGCCAGCGUUCAAUCUGAGCCAGGAUCAAACUCUGA
Molecule: ribosomal RNA, 511 nt
Filed under: uncultured bacterium
Lineage: Bacteria
Description: partial 16S ribosomal RNA
Source: RNAcentral